GGAUUAUAUUUGCGGAUUGGGGUAUGAUGCAACUAGUGGUGACUAUACGAUCCUUAAGAUCGGUUACCAAUCAUGUAGUGAAAUUCUUGCACUGAAAAGUGGUUCGUGGAGAAUAAUAGGUAAGCCUACUGGCAUUUACCGCUCGUGGUUGUCUCAUAUGGACUCUCUGACUUUUGUACAUGGAGCAUUUCAUUGGCUUGGUUUGUCACGGGAUGAGUCUGUGACUUCAUACGAUAUUUCAGAUGAGGUAUUCAAAGAAAUACCAUUUCCAGAUGGAAAGUUUGUGAUUCUGGGCAUGAAUUGCGUCAAACAUGGCCUUUCGGUAUUGGGAGAGAUGAUUUGUAUUUGUACUACUCAUUAUGAUCAGUGGAAGUACACUUUUAACUUAUGGAUAGUGAAAGACUAUGGUAUUAAGGAAUCUUGGACUCGAUUUUUUACUAUCCAAAGUACCGAUCUUUAUUCUUUGGUACCAGAAUACAGGUUUUCAGAUGGUGAAGUGUUACUCCGUUGCAAGCAUUUUGACCGUUGUGGUUAUAUAUUUAAGCAACCAAAGAAUCAUCUGGUUUUUGGCCUCAAUCUCGUUCAGAAUGUAUUCGGAAUGGAUUUGUUUAUACAGAAAGCUUGAUCUCUCCAAAAUUACUUACUUAGUAUUUACUCAUGUACGAUCAGGACAUCAUCUUUUCGAGGAGUCGCAGAACUGGCAGUGGUCAUACAACUUCACGUAUGUGCUUAAGCUGCUCGACCUGUUGGGAACAUAUAUCAGGAUGUCAAAGUGCGCAAUUUACAGCGUUGUGACGAGUUAGAUUUUGUCAUUUUUCGGGGCUUAACCUUGCGUUGCAUGUGACUUUUGUCAAAAACUAAAAGUGAUUGUAUGAACUAUCUGCCUAGUUGAACUAAUCACUUUGUAUUAGUUCCAUUGUGUUUUUAUUAUUUAGACAGCAUGCUGAAGCACAUUAAUGUUCAGUUCCAAUGUGUCAGCUAGCAUUCGAGGAUUUCUCGAUUAUCAAAAAAAUAUUCUCAUCA
RNA transcript from Capsicum annuum, 1023 nucleotides. RefSeq lists it as uncharacterized. The transcript has 2 exons. The record is from RefSeq and is a predicted model, not a curated record. Lineage: Eukaryota; Viridiplantae; Streptophyta; Magnoliopsida; Solanales; Solanaceae.